UCAUCUCAGAAGGCCUGGGUAGUUUGCUUUCCCCAGUGCACAGUCACUCUGUAAAUAGCACAGGUCUUCUGAGUAGGGCCUAGAGGGAGACUUACAGUAGGUACUUGCAGCAGGGCUGCAGAGUUCAUUCUUUGGGGGAAAUCCCCCCACACCCUCACACCCCAGUUCAUAAAGGGGCCCUGGGGCUGUGAACUGACUCAGUCCUAAGAGCUAGGGGAGAGGCCGUGACUCUCUGCUGUGGUGAUUCAAAUCAGGUUUCUGGCUACCAGACCCAGAAUUUUUUUCUGUUAUACUUGAGUAGGCAGCCCAACAAUUUUGUUCCUAGAGAUACCAUCAUUCAUUAGCCAUUGCCAAGAAUCCCAGUGGCCAAAGGCAUUCUGAUUACAUCUCUGCCGCCCUUCGUGGUAAAUGUGCCCACCUUAUCUCUGACAAUUAAGUGCUCCCAAUUAUCCGGAGGCACUUCAGGAUCCCAUCACCCCACUGAUACCAGGAAGCUCAUCUCAAUGACAACAUCCUUAGGGUCACACCUGCCUAUGUAGGAAAGCAAGCACAGAGCUUUUAGAGAGGCAGAUGCUCCCCUCACUAUUCUAUUUCUCAAUGUCUUAGUAAAGAAGUGUCUUCUGGGCCUUCUCAUGGUUAGGAAUGGGUGCUUGGUGGUAGACGUGUAAGUCACACAUGAUAAAUCCACUGUGACAUUCCUGUCUCCCUACAUCUUUGGAUUCUCUCCCCCAAAUCAUAGCAGGGAAGCUCUGACAUCUCCACCUCAUCAAAUGUAGGCAAAUGUUGAGUCACCUCCUGCUGCUCAAGCUAAACCAUGAAAUCCAGACUCUCUGGUAAGUGCAUCUAUAUCAAUGAAUUAAACAAAUGGAGUGUGAUAGCCUACCCUGUUGGAUCUAACACUCUUAGAAUCAACUCGACAUGUUUCCCAGGUUUCUUCCAAUAUUUAUUAGCAAAAUCUUACCAUUCUUUUGGUGUGUAAGUGAUUUCCUUCUGAGUUAGUUAUCUGAGUUUUAUGUCCCACUGUAACAUGCUAAGAUUUGACCCUAGUUAUGGAUCCAGUGACAACAGGGGUGACUGUACCAGGUCUGAAGAGUGAGCCGUUUCCAAGGCAUCCUCCCAGAUGAAGUUAUCACAGGGGUGACUGUACCAGGUCUGAAGAGCAACCCUUUCCAAGGCAUCCUCCCAGAUGAAGUUAUCACAGGGGUGACUGUACCAGGUCUGAAGAGCAACCCUUUCCAAGGCACCCUCCCAGAUGAAGUUAUCACAGGGGUGACUGUACCACGUCUGAAGAGUGACCCCUUUCCCAGGCAUCCUCCCAGAUGAAGUUAUCACAGGGGUGACUGUACCAGGUCUGAAGAGCAACCCUUUCCAAGGCACCCUCCCAGAUGAAGUUAUCACAGGGGUGGUGACUGUACCAGGUCUGAAGAGCGAGCAACCCUUUCCCAGGCAUCCUCCCAGAUGAAGUCAUCACAGGGGUGGUGACUGUACCAGGUCUGAAGAGUGACCCCUUUCCCAGGCAUCCUCCCAGAUGAAGUUAUCACAGGGGUGACUGUACCAGGUCUGAAGAGCAAGCAACCCUUUCCAAGGCACCCUCCCAGAUGAAGUUAUCACAGGGGUGACUGUACCAGGUCUGAAGAGCGAGCAACCCUUUCCAAGGCAUCCUCCCAGAUGAAGUUAUCACAGGAUCUUCAGGCAAAGGAAGUGCGGUGUCCUCAGACACAGGAGGGCAGGGUACUUCCGCUGCCAAGGGAGCUUUAAAGUGAUUUGCCAGUUUCAUCCGAAUCUGAGCAGGUGUUCUCAUUCCAAGUUUCAGGGUCCUGUUCUUUCCCUGUGAGUGCUCUAACUUGCAUAUCAGUAACUUGGCAUGACUAUGACAAACUCAUGUGUAAUCCUGACUAAAACACCAGAACAGUGGUGUUGUAUUAACAACCAAUAAUAGAAAAAGGAUUCCCCAUUGUCACUACUACAACCAACAAGUACACUGGACUUUCUAGCUAGACAACAAGCCAUGAAAUGAAAACAGACAUAUAAAUAAUAAAAAGGAUAAUAUAAAAUUGUUAUUUGCAUGCAGUAAGAUUUUCCACCUAGGAAAUCCAAAUGAAUCCACUGAAAAACCAUUAGAGGGUUUAACAAAUCCACAGCAAUACACAAAAGAAAUACCUUUCCACAUACCAUACACUUAGAGACAGAACCAAGAAGGUUUCGCAAUGUUAUCACAGAAAAACCUGGAAACAACCUAAAUCUACUGACAGAAUGGUUCACUAAAUUUCAGUAUAUUCUGAGUGUGAGAUAUAUUCUAUCAAUCAGCUGUACUGCUACAGAAAACAUUAAAAACAAAGUAAAUGUAAGAAGAAAACAACAGGCUCUGGAACACUAUAUAUAGCAUGAUCCAAUUUACUUAAGAAACAAAUACUAGGCCGGGUGCAGUGGCUCAUGCCUGUAAUCCCAGCACUUUGGGAGGCUGAGGCCAGCAGAUCACUUGAGGGCAGGAGUUCAAGACCAGCCUGACCAACAUGGUGAAACCCCAUCUCUACCAAAAAUACAAAAAUUAGCCAGGUGUGGUGGCAGGUGCAUGUAAUCCCAGCUACUCGGGAGGCUGGCAGGAGAAUCACUUGAACCUGGAGGCAGAGGUUGCAGUGAGCCGAGAUCGCGCCAUUGCACUCCAGCCUGGGCAACAGAGCAAGACUCCUCUCAAAAACAAAACAAAACAAAAAACCACCACUGAGAAUAGGUAUGUUUUUAGGUAUAAGUAUGUAUAUGAAAAGAAAUACAUGUGGAAGAAACUUCCCUUCAGAAAGGGGAGUAAUUUAAGAGGGCUUUCACUUUCUUUAACCUAUGUAUUUCUGUCUGAAAUUGUAGCUGGACGUGGUGGUGCACACCUGUAGUCCCAGCUACUCAGGAGGCUGAGGUGGGAGGAUCACUUGGGCCCAGGAGUUUGAGGCUGCAGUGAGCUAUGGUGGCACCACUGCACUGAAGCCUGGGAAACAGAGAGAGACCCUGUCCCUAAAAAAUAAAAAAUAAAAAAAUAUAUACUUAUGUAUUGCUUGUGUUAUUGGGCUGAAGAUCUGGGAAACUCUGGCGUCAUCCCUUCGUGAUCCAUUUAUCUACCAACUCACUGAUAAAUAUCCAACACCUGCCAGGUAUCUCACACUUGAAACAGGUAACAUGAUACAUAAUUCUUAAAGUGCAGGGCUACAGAACCCUAAUUCUAAUAGCCUACCAGGUAUUUUUUUCAGUAAAGACCUGCAAGAGAGCAUCUACAAAUUCUCCUCUUUAACCACACAUUUGGAAUCCUUGACUGAAAACUCAUUAGCUUUUUCCAAAGGCAAGCUGUAUUAUAACUAAGCUGGAAAAUUUUCUCUUUAUUCAUCCAAUAGGGUUAUUUUGAAAGACUCCAGCUGGGGCUGGGCACGGUGGCUCACGCCUGUAAUCCCAGCACUUUGGGAGGCCGAGGCAGGUGGAUUACCUGAGGUCAGGAGUUCUAGACCAGCCUGGUCAACACAGUGAAACCCCAUCUCUACUAAAAAUACAAAAAUUAGCUGGACGUGCGCCUGUAAUCCCAGCUACUCAGGAGGCUGAGGCAGGCGAAUCGCUUGAGCCCAGGAGGCCGAGGUUGCAGUGAGCCAAGAUCACGCCACUGCACUCCAGCCUGGGCAGUAAAGCAAGACUGCAUCUCAAAAACAAAACAAAAAAAAAAAAAAAAAGAAAGAAAGACUCCAGGUAGACUUAGACAUAAUUCUAACCUUAGAUAUAUUAUAGACCCAGCUUGGUUAUUAGUAUUGAAAAUGCUCUUAAAACCACCGUGUCAUAUAUAUUUCACACAAGAAGAAAUAAAUUGAGUAAACAUGUGGAAAAAUGUUAUGUUCACCUGUUAAUAAGCAAAAAUAAAAAAUAAAACAACUCAUUAAAUUAGCAGACUUUGAAAAAUAUUGAAAAUGGCUACUAAUAUUGAAGAGACCUUGAAAUUACUGCCUGCAACACUGCUAACGGCAGCACAGAUUCGAGAGUAUUAGCAAUGUUUAUUAAAAGUCACAAAAUACUAGUCUCUGAAACAAAAAUCUCAUGACUGAGAUUGGCUUUUAGUAAAUAGUUGCCAUGAAGAAAAACAGUUCUUUGGGCAAAGCUUUAAUGAGUGCAUUAUUUAUAAUAACAAACUUUAGAAACAACCUAAAUAUAAAAAAAAAGUGUAACAAAUAAACUGUGGCACAACCAUUCAAUGGAACGUUAAACACAAUUUUCAAUUAUUUUAUAAAGAAACUGUAAUAACAUAAAAAAUGAAAAGCAAUGAGUAAUUUUAAAAAUCUUCACUCAACUGGGAAUGUUAUUUUUAUAGUGUAAAAGAUUAGUAAAUUUUUUUUUUUUUGAGACAGAUUCUUGCUCUGUUGCCCAGGCUGGAGUGAGUGGCAUGAUCUCGGCUCACUGUAACCUCUGCCUCCUGGGUUCAAG
Molecule: long non-coding RNA, 4446 nt
Filed under: Homo sapiens (human)
Lineage: Eukaryota; Metazoa; Chordata; Mammalia; Primates; Hominidae
Description: HSALNT0067641
Source: RNAcentral